GACGAACGCUGGCGGCGUGCUUAACACAUGCAAGUCGAACGGAAAGGCCCUGCUUUUGUGGGGUGCUCGAGUGGCGAACGGGUGAGUAACACGUGAGUAACCUGCCCUUGACUUUGGGAUAACUUCAGGAAACUGGGGCUAAUACCGGGUAGGAGCUCCUGCUGCAUGGUGGGGGUUGGAAAGUUUCGGCGGUUGGGGAUGGACUCGCGGCUUAUCAGCUUGUUGGUGGGGUAGUGGCUUACCAAGGCUUUGACGGGUAGCCGGCCUGAGAGGGUGACCGGCCACAUUGGGACUGAGAUACGGCCCAGACUCCUACGGGAGGCAGCGGUGGGGAAUAUUGCACAAUGGGCGGAAGCCUGAUGCAGCAACGCCGCGUGCGGGAUGACGGCCUUCGGGUUGUAAACCGCUUUCGCCUGUGACGAAGCGUGAGUGACGGUAAUGGGUAAAGAAGCACCGGCUAACUACGUGC
This 469-nucleotide ribosomal RNA is filed under the name uncultured bacterium. Its description in RNAcentral is "partial 16S ribosomal RNA". It matches the Rfam family "Bacterial small subunit ribosomal RNA", at positions 28 to 508 of the family's 1533-position model. The record is from RNAcentral.